CAGCAGCCACGGUAAUACGAAGGGUGCAAGCGUUAAUCGGAAUUACUGGGCGUAAAGCGUGCGUAGGCGGUGAGUUAAGUCUGCUGUGAAAUCCCCGGGCUCAACCUGGGAAUGGCAGUGGAUACUGGCUCGCUAGAGUGUGUCAGAGGAUGGUGGAAUUCCCGGUGUAGCGGUGAAAUGCGUAGAGAUCGGGAGGAACAUCAGUGGCGAAGGUGGCCAUCUGGGACAACACUGACGCUGAGGCACGAAAGCGUGGGGAGCGAACAGGAUUAGAUACCCGUGUAGUCCCUGUCUCUUAUAA
Molecule: ribosomal RNA, 301 nt
Filed under: uncultured bacterium
Lineage: Bacteria
Description: partial 16S ribosomal RNA
Rfam family: Bacterial small subunit ribosomal RNA
Source: RNAcentral